Regulatory RNA element from Tumebacillus algifaecis, 138 nucleotides. It matches the Rfam family "Ribosomal protein L10 leader". From Rfam's summary of the family: This family is a putative r-protein leader autoregulatory structure found in B. subtilis and other low-GC Gram-positive bacteria. It is located in the 5' untranslated regions of mRNAs encoding ribosomal proteins L10 and L12 (rplJ-rplL). A Rho-independent transcription terminator structure that is probably involved in regulation is included at the 3' end. The record is from Rfam. NCBI's taxonomy places the organism in Bacteria, Bacillati, Bacillota, Bacilli, Caryophanales, Alicyclobacillaceae.
GAAGUGAAUAACAACGAACCGCAGACAGCAGGUGUCAAGCAUGCUUGACUUAAUACCCUGCCGAGGAUCAAGAAGUUUCACCUUACUCAGGUAACUUAUGCCCUCGUAGACUGUCUGCGGGGGUUUUCUUCUUGAUCU